Molecule: RNA transcript, 5613 nt
Organism: Oncorhynchus kisutch (coho salmon)
Lineage: Eukaryota; Metazoa; Chordata; Actinopteri; Salmoniformes; Salmonidae
Gene name: erlin-2-like
Exons: 13
Source: RefSeq, a predicted model, not a curated record
ACGCAAAAUGAGGAAGUGAACUUUGCAGUAGGUGUUAGCAAAUGUUGUUAGCGUAUAUGUUUUGUAUUUAUUUAUUUUUUUACCGUGGAGGAGGCACCUCGUGUAAUAAUACAGACUUAGAAAGUGGAACCAAAGAUACUGAACCAAAGAUGACUGAACCUUCACGUGCGAGCUCAAGUUUCACGACCUGGAUGGCACAGUUGGGUGCCAUUGCCUCAAUAAUCUGUGCGAUUGGUGGCGCUGCUCUCUUCGCCUCUGUUCACAAGAUUGAGGAGGGACACACUGGAGUUUACUACAGGGGAGGAGCUCUCCUGACCACCACCAGUAACCCUGGGUUCCACCUCAUGAUGCCUUUCAUCACUAACUUCAAGUCUGUGCAGACCACUCUACAAACAGAUGAAGUGAAGAAUGUACCAUGUGGCACAAGUGGGGGAGUGAUGAUUUACUUUGACCGGAUAGAAGUGGUGAACUACCUGGUGCCCUCAGCAGGUAAAGUCAUAAGCCAAAACAUCAAACGUUGGAGCAAUUUUGACAAGGUGCUCGAGUUUUAUCUCUCAACACAAAACUAAAAACUGAUCUUACUUGUGACAUAACAUGCCUGAUGUUCAAAUCCUUCCUUAGUAUAUAUGCUAUAUUGUUUCAAAACCAGUGUAACACAUGUAUUGUAACAGUGUGUUGUCCUCUGCACCAUCAUUUCAUGGGGAGACUCAUUUUCCAACCUGUGUUUUGAGUAAAAAUAAAACAACUGUUUAGUAAGUUCCCGGUUCUGUUAGUGAAAGGCGUCUGGACACAUUUUAAAUACUGUGUUAACUCUCAAAGUGUGCUCCAAGUCUCUUUUGUUAUGACAGAUGUAAGGGGUGGGGGGGGGCAGCCUGGUGUGGGAUGGUUGUGUACUUAACAGUGUUGUAGUAAGUGAGACCGGUCUUUUUUUUUCUUCUCACCAUUCUGAAUUUCUAAAGAAUUGAUAUAUUGUUGUAAAAUAUGAACACAGAAAUACUGAACACUUUGAACUCUUAUGCUGCCAAUUUGACACAAUUAUAAUCCCCCUCCAGUCUUGAUCUUGACUCUAUUUGUUCCGGUCUUGAAUCAGUCUCGCUUCAGGUGGUCUAGAACACAACACUAGUACUCGGCAACCAUUUUGAACACAGCUUACUGUAACCCUGCGAUAGACUAGCUUCCGCUCCAAGGGGUGUUACAUCAAGCUGCCCGAUGCUAAGAAACAGGAGACAGGAGGCUUCUGCCUUAUGGACCGUUCAGGCUCGGACCAAGCUCCGUAUUUACUGUAGCCACUACUACUUACUUACUUUAUGCUGCUUUCACAUAGGAUUUACGGUACUAUAUCAAAAAGCAAAUGUAAUAUUGAUUAACUUUCAGAUAUAAAGAAAAGAUAGGGAAAAAAUUGGAGGUAUGGUAAAGUUGGCGGAAAAACGUUUUUGUGUGAAAGGGAUAUUACUGUAGCCCACAGGAGGGGAGAACGGCUUGUAAUAAUGUCCGGAGCGGCGCAAAUGGAAUGGCAUCAAACACCUGGAAACCAUGUGUUUGAUGUAUUUGAUACCAUUCCACCAAUUCCGCUCCAGUCAUUGCCACGAACCCGUUCUCCCCAAUUAAGGUGCCACCAACCUCCUGUGCUGUAGCCAUUCUUCUUUGUCCUUUCUCUGUAUGAUAUAGUGAGGAACUUCACAGCAACUCUGUCUCCUCUCUUCUACAGUGUAUGGUAUAGUGAGGAACUUCACAGCAACUCUGUCUCCUCUCUUCUACAGUGUAUGGUAUAGUGAGGAACUUCACAGCAACUCUGUCUCCUCUCUUCUACAGUGUAUGGUAUAGUGAGGAACUUCACAGCAACUCUGUCUCCUCUCUUCUACAGUGUAUGGUAUAGUGAGGAACUUCACAGCAACUCUGUCUCCUCUCUUCUACAGUGUAUGGUAUAGUGAGGAACUUCACAGCAACUCUGUCUCCUCUCUUCUACAGUGUAUGGUAUAGUGAGGAACUUCACAGCAAUUCUGUCUCCUCUCUUCUACAGUGUAUGGUAUAGUGAGGAACUUCACAGCAAUUCUGUCUCCUCUCUUCUACAGUGUAUGGUAUAGUGAGGAACUUCACAGCAACACUGUCUCCUCUCUUCUACAGUGUAUGGUAUAGUGAGGAACUUCACAGCAACUCUGUCUCCUCUCUUCUACAGUGUAUGGUAUAGUGAGGAACUUCACAGCAACUCUGUCUCCUCUCUUCUACAGUGUAUGGUAUAGUGAGGAACUUCACAGCAACUCUGUCUCCUCUCUUCUACAGUGUAUGGUAUAGUGAGCAACUUCACAGCAACUCUUUCGCCUCUCUUCUACAGUGUAUGGUAUAGUGAGGAACUUCACAGCAACUCUGUCUCCUCUCUUCUACAGUGUAUGGUAUAGUGAGGAACUUCACAGCAACUCUGUCUCCUCUCUUCUACAGUGUAUGGUAUAGUGAGGAACUUCACAGCAAUUCUGUCUCCUCUCUUCUACAGUGUAUGGUAUAGUGAGGAACUUCACAGCAAUUCUGUCUCCUCUCUUCUACAGUGUAUGGUAUAGUGAGGAACUUCACAGCAACACUGUCUCCUCUCUUCUACAGUGUAUGGUAUAGUGAGGAACUUCAUAGCAACUCUGUCUCCUCUCUUCUACAGUGUAUGGUAUAGUGAGGAACUUCACAGCAACUCUGUCUCCUCUCUUCUACAGUGUAUGGUAUAGUGAGGAACUUCACAGCAACUCUGUCUCCUCUCUUCUACAGUGUAUGGUAUAGUGAGCAACUUCACAGCAACUCUUUCGCCUCUCUUCUACAGUGUAUGAUAUAGUGAGGAACUUCACAGCGGAUUAUGACAAGGCCCUGAUAUUCAACAAGGUUCACCAUGAGCUCAACCAGUUCUGCAGCGUCCACUCUCUACAGGAGGUCUACAUCGGCUUGUUCGACCAGAUAGAUGAAAACCUGAAGCUGACCUUACAGGAGGAUCUGACCUGCAUGGCUCCUGGACUCAUCAUACAGGCAGUCCGAGUCACAAAGCCCAACAUUCCUGAGAGCAUUCGGAGGAACUACGAGAUGAUGGAGGCUGAGAAGACAAAGCUUCUGAUUUCUGCUCAGACUCAGAAGGUGGUGGAGAAGGAAGCGGAGACAGAGCGGAAGAGGGCUGUGAUCGAGGCAGAGAAGUUAGCUCAAGUGGCUGAAAUCAAGUUUAGCCAGAAAGUCAUGGAGAAAGAAACAGAGAAAAGGAUCUCUGAAAUUGAAGCUGAUAAUAUUUUAGAUGACGUCAACACAAUUUGACGUCUUACCCCUGGGUUGCAGACGGAGCAUUCUUGGCUAAGAUGAAGGCCAGGGCCGAUGCAGAGUUCUACACAGCAGAGAGAGCGGCCGAGGCCAAUAAGUUGAAGCUGACGCCAGAGUAUCUGCAGCUUAUGAAGUUCCAGGCCAUAGCAGCUAACAGUAAGAUCUACUUUGGGAGUAAGAUCCCCCAGAUGUUUGUUGACUCUGGCCCCUCCUCCACUAAGGCCUCUGAUGCCAUGGACGACCUAACUGAACAGAUCCUGGACCUAGACUGAUGGAAAGGAGAAGAGAAGAGACCCAUCCCAGGGCUGGAGCUAUGGAGCUGGGCCCAUGCUAGCCACAAGAUCCCUCUCCCAUAUGAAUUGGCUGAGUGUCUUCACCUUAUCUCACCCGGAUCGUCUCACAAUAGCAGAUGUAACAGAUCUUAACUAGCCCACUGAAUGAACAUGACUUUACCUCCGUUUCAGAGAGUGAGCAUUGAUGUUCAAUUGUUUUUUUGACUCAAGAAAAGUCCAGGUUGACUUGUUUUCUCUCAAUUAUCUGUAAUUAUGCUGGGCAAAAGGCCAUUAUAUUCAUGUCUGCUCUUGAGAGAGUGUCCUAGACACAACAGAGAGUAUCUGUUAGAAUUGAGAUGUUGAGAAACCAGCUUCUCCUUGAGUGGGAACAGUGUCCCAUGCUGGAACAGAGAGAGCAAUGGCUUCUCUGUCAGUAGUAGUCAUAGUAUGAGGGAUACAGAUGAACAACUCUGAUAACGACAACUUGACAAACCACACUACACUCAAAGCAUGUUCUACUAGUGGUGUUUGACGGUUGGUCUCGUGCUUUGCCACUCGUUUUAAACCAUCACAUUUUAUUUUCUGGUAUUGACUACAAAUGUUGUAGGAAUGUUAUUAACUACACAGAUGGAUACCUUUUCUGAAACCGAGGCAGAUUUUGGGCUGAAACUCUCCUGGUUUUGCUUGGGAAGGAAAGGGAAGAGGGGUGACAUUAGAAAAGGGUUCGGGACUCACUAUAAAAGUAUUAUAAAUUAUCUUCAGCAUCAAAUCUUCCUGGGAAUUUGGAUUUGUGACAUUUAUCUAAUUGUACAUUAUACAAAAAGUUCUACAUGCAAUACAAGCCUCACACUCAUUGACGAACCAUCUUAACCCUCUGCUAUUGCCUAUCUCCAUGAUUUGGUGAAGGGGUGAUGCCAACCAAAUCCAAUUUUAUUGGUAACAUACACAUUUAGCAGAUGUUAUUGCGGGUGUAGUGAAAUGCUUGUGUUCCUAGCUCCAACAGUGUAGUAGUAUCUUAACAAUUCACAACAAUACACACAUCUAAAAGAAUGGAAUUAAUAAAUAAAUAAAUAUUAGGAUGACCAAUGUCGGAGUGACAUUGACUAAAUAGAAUACAGUAUAUACAUAUGAAAUUAGUAAAGCAGUAUGUAAACAUUAUAAGUGACCAGUGACUCCAUGUCUAUGUACAUAGGGCAGCAGCCCCGUAAGGUGCAGGGUUGAGUAACCGGGUGGAAGCCGGCCAGAGAGCGCUAUUUAACAGUCUGAUGCCCUGUCCAACCACUCCCAGUUCAGUAUUCGAGAAAAAAAUGAAAAAAAAAAGCAACUUUUGUCGUUAUCUGCUAGGCAUUUCAUACAGGCUCUACAUGGAAACUUUUUUUUCCUGACAUUGGAUACUAAGAGCAUUACAGGUGUGUGUUUUAACAGUACAUUUUAUCGCCUGCGUCUCGUCUGCGGUUCAUGACAGAUCAUGUCCAUAUAUAUUCGUCAUUGUGACGCAUGUUCACUGAAUAUUGGACCAGGCCUCUUGUUAUUUUCCAAAUAAAAUCUCUGUGUCAUCUUACAUGGACAGGAAUGGUGGAAAGAAAAAAACAAUAGUGUUUUUUUUUCUUAUUAAAGUGAUGUAUUAACAUAAAAGCAAACAAAAGCUGACUUGUCUUAGUCAUUCAUAUUGGAAGGAUGAGUCAAUGGUAUAAACAUGUAAUGGGGUUUUCAUGAAAGAUGCAACUGCAGCUUUUUGACUAUUUCACACACUGGUGCCCUCGGUGUAGUGUUGGACUGAGUUCAUUUGGGGUGAAUCAUUUGUAUGUUUUUCCCCAACGCUUUGACUAAAGCAAUGACUUGUUUGAGAGGCACUUGGGUUGUAUCCAUCCAACUGUUCUCUCAAAGUAACACUGGUUUGUUCUGGCUGUGUAAACUGUUUGUUAGACUCUCUCAGGUUGACUUGACUGAUUAUGACUUGAAGGAGACUCUUUUGCACUCGCUCACUGAUGUUAAAUUGUGAAUCAGAAAUCCAUCAUUUUGUGAUUUACACGAUUAAAUGUUUUUCUUUGAUAACGAGGUA